RNAcentral lists this ribosomal RNA (429 nucleotides) under Chloroflexota bacterium. Its description in RNAcentral is "Chloroflexi bacterium partial 16S ribosomal RNA". It matches the Rfam family "Bacterial small subunit ribosomal RNA", at positions 355 to 776 of the family's 1533-position model. Lineage: Bacteria; Bacillati; Chloroflexota. The record is from RNAcentral.
UGGGGAAUAUUGCACAAUGGGCGCAAGCCUGAUGCAGCCAUGCCGCGUGUGUGAAGAAGGCCUUCGGGUUGUAAAGCACUUUCAGCGGGGAGGAAGGCGUUAAGGUUAAUAACCUUGGCGAUUGACGUUACCCGCAGAAGAAGCACCGGCUAACUCCGUGCCAGCAGCCGCGGUAAUACGGAGGGUGCAAGCGUUAAUCGGAAUUACUGGGCGUAAAGCGCACGCAGGCGGUCUGUCAAGUCGGAUGUGAAAUCCCCGGGCUCAACCUGGGAACUGCAUUCGAAACUGGCAGGCUAGAGUCUUGUAGAGAGGGGUAGAAUUCCAGGUGUAGCGGUGAAAUGCGUAGAGAUCUGGAGAAAUACCGGUGGCGAAGGCGGCCCCCUGGACAAAGACUGACGCUCAGGUGCGAAAGCGUGGGGAGCAAACAGG